ACCCGGGGUAGUUCAGUUGGUAGAGCAUACGACUCUUAAUCUCAGGGUCUUGCGUUCGAGGCCCAUGUUGGGCA
Molecule: non-coding RNA, 74 nt
Organism: Podarcis lilfordi (Lilford's wall lizard)
Lineage: Eukaryota; Metazoa; Chordata; Lepidosauria; Squamata; Lacertidae
Source: the annotation of a GenBank genome assembly